RNAcentral lists this ribosomal RNA (459 nucleotides) under uncultured bacterium. RNAcentral describes it as "partial 16S ribosomal RNA". It matches the Rfam family "Bacterial small subunit ribosomal RNA", at positions 338 to 795 of the family's 1533-position model. The record is from RNAcentral.
CCUACGGGAGGCAGCAGUGAGGAAUAUUGGUCAAUGGCCGGGAGGCUGAACCAUCCAAGUCGCGUGAGGGAAGACGGCCCUACGGGUUGUAAACCUCUUUUGUCAGGGAGCAAGGUGCAGGUCGGGACCUGCUGUGAGAGUACCUGAAGAAAAAGCAUCGGCUAACUCCGUGCCCGCAGCCGCGGUACUACGGGGGAUGCGCGCGUUAUGCGGAUUUAUUGGGUUUAAAGGGGGCGCAGGCGGGCUGUUAAGUCAUCGGUCAAAUGUCGGGGCUCAACCCCGGCCUGCCGUUGAUACUGGCAGUCUUGAGUACAGUUGAGGUAGGCGGAAGUCGUGGUGUAGCGGUGAAAUGCUUAGAUAUCACGAAGAACUCCGAUUGCGAAGGCAGCUUACUAAACUGCCACUGACAUUGAUGCUCGAAAGUGUGGGUAUCAAACAGGAUUAGAUACCCUUGUAGUC